RNAcentral lists this ribosomal RNA (253 nucleotides) under uncultured prokaryote. RNAcentral describes it as "partial 16S ribosomal RNA". It matches the Rfam family "Bacterial small subunit ribosomal RNA", at positions 524 to 776 of the family's 1533-position model. The record is from RNAcentral.
UACGUAGGGGGCGAGCGUUGUCCGGAGUUACUGGGCGUAAAGCGCACGCAGGCGGUGCGGUAAGUUCGGAGUGACAAUUCUCGGCUUAACUGAGAAGGGUCUUCGAAGACUGCCGGACUUGAGGGCUCACGAGGGACACGGAAUUCCGGGUGGAGUGGUGAAAUGCGUAGAUAUCCGGAGGAACACCAAAGGCGAAGGCAGUGUCCUGGGGAGUACCUGACGCUCAGGUGCGAAAGCCAGGGGAGCAAACGGG